This 78-nucleotide transfer RNA is filed under the name Marmota monax (woodchuck). RNAcentral describes it as "tRNA.Gly". Lineage: Eukaryota; Metazoa; Chordata; Mammalia; Rodentia; Sciuridae. The record is from RNAcentral.
UGGGUUGUGGCUCAGAGGUAGAGCACUCGCCUACCAUGUGUGAGGCCCUGAGUUUGGGUUUGAUCCUCAAUACCACAU